UACGAAGGGGGCUAGCGUUGCUCGGAAUCACUGGGCGUAAAGCGCACGUAGGCGGCUUUUUAAGUCAGGGGUGAAAUCCUGGAGCUCAACUCCAGAACUGCCUUUGAUACUGAGAAGCUUGAGUCCGGGAGAGGUGAGUGGAACUGCGAGUGUAGAGGUGAAAUUCGUAGAUAUUCGCAAGAACACCAGUGGCGAAGGCGGCUCACUGGCCCGGAACUGACGCUGAGGUGCGAAAGCGUGGGGAGCAAACAGG
RNAcentral lists this ribosomal RNA (253 nucleotides) under uncultured bacterium. RNAcentral describes it as "partial 16S ribosomal RNA". It matches the Rfam family "Bacterial small subunit ribosomal RNA", at positions 524 to 776 of the family's 1533-position model. The record is from RNAcentral.